CAGCAGCCACGGGAAUACGAAGGGUGCAAGCGUUGCUCGGAAUUACUGGGCGUAAAGCGUGUGUAGGUGGUUGUUUAAGUCUGUCGUGAAAGCCCUGGGCUCAACCUGGGAAUUGCGAUGGAUACUGGGCGACUAGAGUGCGGUAGAGGAUAGUGGAAUUUCCGGUGUAGCAGUGAAAUGCGUAGAGAUCGGAAGGAACAUCUGUGGCGAAGGCGACUAUCUGGGCCAACACUGACACUGAGACACGAAAGCGUGGGGAGCAAACAGGAUUAGAUACCCGUGUAGUCCCUGUCUCUUAUAC
RNAcentral lists this ribosomal RNA (301 nucleotides) under uncultured bacterium. RNAcentral's name for it is "partial 16S ribosomal RNA". It matches the Rfam family "Bacterial small subunit ribosomal RNA", at positions 509 to 807 of the family's 1533-position model. The record is from RNAcentral.